This 198-nucleotide ribosomal RNA is filed under the name Belocephalus davisi. RNAcentral describes it as "partial 5.8S ribosomal RNA". The stretch from base 144 to 198 matches the Rfam family "5.8S ribosomal RNA", at positions 1 to 55 of the family's 154-position model. The record is from RNAcentral. Lineage: Eukaryota; Metazoa; Arthropoda; Insecta; Orthoptera; Tettigoniidae.
GCACCCGUCGCUCCGGCGACGGGGAGGUUUUAAAAGAACACUUGUGUCGCCCGUGCUCGAACCACUUUGAAUCACUUCUAUCACGUUGUGACUGAAUCCAAAAACGUUGUCCUCUGCAACGAGGAUUUGAAAUGACAGAAAACAACCCUGAACGGUGGAUCACUCGGCUCGUGGGUCGAUGAAGAACGCAGCAAAUUG